Malania oleifera is the source of this 694-nucleotide long non-coding RNA. RefSeq lists it as uncharacterized. The transcript is spliced from 2 exons. Lineage: Eukaryota; Viridiplantae; Streptophyta; Magnoliopsida; Santalales; Ximeniaceae. The record is from RefSeq and is a predicted model, not a curated record.
GGGCGAUGCCUUUCACAGCCAAAGCACGUCUCUCUCUCUCUCUCUCUCUCUCUCUCUCUCUCGGUCGUGUCUUUUUCAAAUUUGGUUCUGUUUGAUUUGGGCGAAGUCUCUCUCUCAAUCGUCUCUCUCUUCCGAUUUUUGGUUUUGUUCGACGUCUCUUCCGAUUUUUGGUUCUAUUUGACGUCUCUCCCUUAUCGAUUUACUGUCAAUUUGAUUGCCUCCGACCUCCACGUGAGAAUCGUUGUAUAGCGCCAACUUGUGACUCGAGUGAGGGCAUUAGAGUUGGGGGAACGCUUGACUGAUCGGUUGGGUAGGUCUCAGAGAUGCGGCUUACUGGCUCGCCCUUUCCAAGUGGGGAGUUGGGGCAUGUGGUCCAUGCGAAGGCUUGGGCCAUGUGUCUUCUAGAGAGGAGGGCACAGCGUUAGACUGGCUUCACAGAGCAGCGAACACCUCCCGCUCUUCACGGUGGAAGGAUAACGGAUUGGUGCAUUUCGGGUCCACAUUACCCGGUCCGUCGGUUAGGGUUGAACCUCCACUUUUGCUUUGACCGCAUAAUUUGGCAGAAAAUGAUUCAUAUAGCCGAUCCCACCUAGUGGGACUUAAGGCUUGGUUUUGUUGUUGUAGUCUUGAAUAGCCACAAGAAGUGGACUUAACCUUGACAAUUUCCUGUUUCUAUGCAGGUUUUGAUAUUCUC